GUACCUUUCUCGUCCUUUUUGCUAAGAUCAAGUGUAGUAUCUGUUCUUAUCAGUUUAAUAUCUGAUACAUGAGCCAAUGGCUCACACGAUAUUAACUCAAUUUUUUUAGGGGAAAGAUUCACUGAUGUAGCUUGUUGCUUGGGUCUUUGAGUGUCGCCUUGGCUUAGCAUUAUUGCCUGGCACACCCCACCAUAG
Small nuclear RNA from Ipomoea nil (Japanese morning glory), 195 nucleotides. It matches the Rfam family "U2 spliceosomal RNA". Rfam says of the family: U2 is a small nuclear RNA (snRNA) component of the spliceosome (involved in pre-mRNA splicing). Complementary binding between U2 snRNA (in an area lying towards the 5' end but 3' to hairpin I) and the branchpoint sequence (BPS) of the intron results the bulging out of an unpaired adenosine, on the BPS, which initiates a nucleophilic attack at the intronic 5' splice site, thus starting the first of two transesterification reactions that mediate splicing. Lineage: Eukaryota; Viridiplantae; Streptophyta; Magnoliopsida; Solanales; Convolvulaceae. The record is from Rfam.